Molecule: long non-coding RNA, 263 nt
Filed under: Elaeis guineensis (African oil palm)
Lineage: Eukaryota; Viridiplantae; Streptophyta; Magnoliopsida; Arecales; Arecaceae
Description: long non-coding RNA (EGUI_LNC014270)
Source: RNAcentral
UAGUCUUGUGCAGCAUCCACUCGAGCUCUGGAGAAUGAUAUCAAAGGGUCCAGUAUCUCUUCUAUAUCAAAAUAAUUAGGAUGGCAUUCUGCAAACAGAAAUUGAUGAGAUCGAACUUGAGAAAAAUCAAUGAGCCAUAGCUCAGAGCUUAUCAUGACGAUCGCCCUGAAAGCCCUCUCAAAUAAGGCACCCACGAAGCUGCUCUCCAGCUUGCUUCUACCGCAGGGGAGGACAAUCUCUAGAGCUAAUUUCUAUGCAACUUG